Molecule: unclassified non-coding RNA, 118 nt
Filed under: Clostridioides difficile CD002
Lineage: Bacteria; Bacillati; Bacillota; Clostridia; Peptostreptococcales; Peptostreptococcaceae
Source: RNAcentral
GUAUAUGUAAUUUAUUUUAAUUAAUAAUACAUACAUCUUAUUAAUAAUCUACUUAUAUAAUAAUCUAUAAAUAUUAUAUAAUAAUAUGUAUAUAAUUAGUAUUAAUAUUUAAUAGUAA